AAAUAUCUGACACUAGCUCUCCCAGCCUCCCUUGCUAUUGUGGUAGAGCAUACACAUUCCACUAGUCAGAUACACAUGCCCCAGAGUGGGAAUCAGAAGCUUGUGAUAUGAAAGAGGAGAGGCCUUUCAAAUCCAUCGCAGUGAUGGUGGUGGGGAUAUAUAUCCAGAAUACUGGAUAAAAGCAACUCAGCUGGUUUUGUAGAUUGUCUUAAUUCUUAAGCAAAUUAAUAGCGGUAAUUACAUCAGAAGGGGCAGGGUUCAACUAUGUUGAAGAGAAAGCUAUUUUCAAAAGUUUAGUAGAAUAUAUUUGCAUCAAAUAACUUGUCUAAUGAUAAAAAUAGCUUAGUUUAAUAAACUUUCCAGCAAUAGGGAAAUACUGGGUAUCAGUUCUAAAUGUUUCCAUACUUUCAAAAUCAACACAAUUUUAUUUCUUAAUAAAAUUCUCAAAAUCUGA
Long non-coding RNA from Homo sapiens (human), 454 nucleotides. NCBI's taxonomy places the organism in Eukaryota, Metazoa, Chordata, Mammalia, Primates, Hominidae. The record is from Ensembl.